UGUCAUUGUAAAGCAUUACCCUUUUAAACUCUAGGAGAAGUUUGAAAAUAUAGCUUCUUUCAACAGGAUUUCAUAGAUACAAUAUGUAAACACAAUAAAAUACAUCUGCAAUUGUAAUACCUGUAGGUAAAUCAACAUUGUUAUACCAGUAGGUAAAUCAACAUUGUUAUACCUGUAGGUAAAUCAACAUUGUUAAACCUGUAGGUAUAUUAACAUUGUUAUACCUGUAGAUAAAUCAACAUUGUUAUACCUGUAGGUAAAUCAACAUUGUUAAACCUGUAGGUAUAUUAACAUUGUUUUACCUGUAGGUAAAUCAACAUUGUUUUACCGGUAGGUAAAUUACAUUGUAGUACCUGUAGGUAAAUCAACAUUGUUAUACCUGUAGGUAAAUUACAUUGUAUUACCUGUAGGUCAAUCAACAUUUUUAUACCAGUCGGUAAAUCAAAAUUGAUAAACCUUUAGGUCAAUUUAUAUUGUAUUACCUGUAGGUAAAUAAACAUUGUUAUACCUGUAGGUAAACUAACAUUGUAUUACCUGUAGGUAAAUUAUAUUGUAGUACCUGUAGGUAAAUUUACACUUAAACAUUUACACUGUAAUAUUGUUAAAUUUGUAGGGAAAUUAUCUAAAGUAAAUUAACAUUGUUACAUUUGCAGGUAAAUUAACAUUGUACUCUGGAAUGUAAAGAGCAAAACAUGGAAAUUAUAUUAAAAUCAACAAGUCAAAAGAUCUUAUUUCUAAAUGUCUAUUUAAAUGCUUUUUUAAACUUUAUAUUUUAAUAAAAAUAUCUUAAUAAUAAACAUUUCAUUUUAAGUCUUAAAUUCAAACAUACUGUAUUCAAGAUAGAUAGUUAAUGCAAGACUCUUUACUUCAUUCCAUUUCUAGGGGAUUUAUUCCCUUUAACAGUGUAUUA
Ruditapes philippinarum (Manila clam) is the source of this 910-nucleotide long non-coding RNA. RefSeq lists it as uncharacterized. NCBI's taxonomy places the organism in Eukaryota, Metazoa, Mollusca, Bivalvia, Venerida, Veneridae. The transcript has 3 exons. The record is from RefSeq and is a predicted model, not a curated record.